UCUAUCUGUUCCCUGUUGCCUUCGGCGUGGCCACGGCCCCCCGGAGACUAACAUUUGAACGCUGUCUGAAGUUUGCAGUCUGAGUUUUUAGUUAAACAAUAGUUAAACUUUCAACAACGGAUCUCUUGGUUCCGGCAUCGAUGAAGAACGCAGCGAAAUGGGAUAAUUAAUGUGAAUUGCAGAAUUCAGUGAAUCAUCGAGUCUUUGAACGCACAUUGCGCCCCCUGGUAUUCCGGGGGGCAUGCCUGUCCGAGCGUCAUUGCUGCCCUCAAGCAGGGCUUGUCUGUUGGGCCUUCCGGUCCCUGGCAACGGGGACGGGCCCAAAAGGGCAGUGCCGGCACCAUGUCUGGUCCUCGAGCGUAGGCGUCUUUGUCACCCGCUCCGUUAGGUCCAGCUGGCAGUUAUCCUCGCCACCAAUCUUUUAUUCCAGGUGACCUCGGAUC
This 443-nucleotide ribosomal RNA is filed under the name Aspergillus amstelodami. RNAcentral describes it as "eukaryotic LSU rRNA". The stretch from base 106 to 259 matches the Rfam family "5.8S ribosomal RNA". Lineage: Eukaryota; Fungi; Ascomycota; Eurotiomycetes; Eurotiales; Aspergillaceae. The record is from RNAcentral.